This 29-nucleotide non-coding RNA is filed under the name Bombyx mori (domestic silkworm). The record is from RNAcentral. Lineage: Eukaryota; Metazoa; Arthropoda; Insecta; Lepidoptera; Bombycidae.
GGCGCUCUUACGUCAGAAGUAUUGGAUAC